Molecule: long non-coding RNA, 160 nt
Organism: Cydia strobilella
Lineage: Eukaryota; Metazoa; Arthropoda; Insecta; Lepidoptera; Tortricidae
Exons: 2
Source: RefSeq, a predicted model, not a curated record
UUUUAUGAUAGGCACAGAAAAAAGGUGGUUAGUAAAAAUGUUGCAUAAUGUUGUUCAACUGACCCAUACGCUGAGUCAUGCGUUUUAGCUAAAAACGGUUUGUAUGGUGGCCCGGCGUAUUGAAUACGCUCGGCGGUUCUUGGCCAUGAAUGGGUUAAGU